UAGGGAAUCUUCCACAAUGGGCGAAAGCCUGAUGGAGCAACGCCGCGUGUGUGAUGAAGGCUUUCGGUCGUAAAGCACUGUUGUAUGGGAAGAACAGCUAGAAUAGGAAAUGAUUUUAGUUUGACGGUACCAUACCGGAAAGGGACGGCUAAAUACGUGUCAG
This 163-nucleotide ribosomal RNA is filed under the name uncultured bacterium. Its description in RNAcentral is "partial 16S ribosomal RNA". It matches the Rfam family "Bacterial small subunit ribosomal RNA", at positions 355 to 511 of the family's 1533-position model. The record is from RNAcentral.